Molecule: transfer RNA, 82 nt
Filed under: Planktothrix agardhii
Lineage: Bacteria; Bacillati; Cyanobacteriota; Cyanophyceae; Oscillatoriales; Microcoleaceae
Also listed under: 36 other names
Description: tRNA-Leu
Rfam family: tRNA
About the family: Transfer RNA (tRNA) molecules are approximately 80 nucleotides in length. Their secondary structure includes four short double-helical elements and three loops (D, anti-codon, and T loops).
Source: RNAcentral
GCGGAUGUGGCGGAAUUGGUAUACGCGCACGUUUGAGGGGCGUGUGGCUUUGUCCUUGCGAGUUCGAGUCUCGCCAUCCGCA